UGAGUCAGCAGGUGUAGAUGGUAAAUUCGACCAUCCCUCAAGGAUCGAAGAACAGACGGCCCGGCCCACAUGAAGCGGAGCAUUGGCUCGACGCGGCGGCUUGAAGGGUCGAUCUCUCGGCGUAAUGUGAGAGAGCUUUCGAUGGGCUUCUUGACUAAACACCCCGAGAAAACGACUCCACGAGACAAUGUGGACUUCUCGGCCCAGCGAGUUAAAGCCCACAGAGACGACACAAACUAGGCCACGGAAGUCUCGGCCCAGCGAGUUAAAGUCCACAGAGACGACACAAACUAGGUCACAGAAGAGCGUGAGGUCAGCUAUAAAAGGGGAAGGAAAGGCAACGUAAGGGGGAUCCAAAAUCACUGAUACCCACUGGGCGGCUAGAUUAGGGUUUUACCUUUGUUAUCUCGCCUUGUUGUAUCUCUCCGAUAAAGCCUUCGAGGCUCCGGUACCUUUCCUUUUACGUAUUUCCUUUCCUUGUAACCGACGAAACGCUCUUCCGACCAUUAAUAAGAC
RNAcentral lists this long non-coding RNA (516 nucleotides) under Brassica napus (rape). Its description in RNAcentral is "long non-coding RNA (BNAP_LNC024200)". Lineage: Eukaryota; Viridiplantae; Streptophyta; Magnoliopsida; Brassicales; Brassicaceae. The record is from RNAcentral.